CCUUCGUCCAUCGUUGGAUUGGAUUGCUGCAGUGAUUCUCCAAUCCCACUUUUCACCACAGCCGUCCGAUCUGUCAUUUUUUUUCUCACUCGCUCAGCAUUCCCAUGAAGUCCAUGACGCAUGGGGCCAACUAGGUGCAAGGCCCGACGGUCAGAGACAGCCACGGAUGCUCGUUCUCGUCGCCUUCGGUCUCCAACCACGCAGGAUGGUGAAAACCUAGAUCGGGAGUGCCCGAUUCACUCCCCAAUCCUCCAAAUCCAAGCGGCGGACGACGGCGCGCAUGAGGAGGAGGAACCUGGAGGUGGGUUGAGGCGCCCGCCGGGCCGCCCCUCCCCCAUGGGGACGGCCGCGGUUGUGGCCUGGAGUACGUGCCGCAGGAGCACGCACGGAGGAGGCCGGCAGCGAUGCCUCGUCUUCUCGGCGUGAGCCCCUCCAUGCCGUGCGCCCGGCCUCUCUGCCUCGACCUAAGAAACCGGCGAAGGGCGAUGGAGCACUGAGGGUUAGCUUCUUCCGGUUGGAGAUGCUCGUGUGAGAUUGAUUAUUGUCCUUUCUCUCUAUGUGCUUCAUUUUCUCUUGGAUCCUUUGGCCAAAUUUUCUGGUGAUAUCCUCCUGCCCACGCCAUGUAGGAUUUGUUUAUCCCCUUUUGAUUUGUCUCUAUGCCACUAUUUGUAAAUUCCUGGGGAGUUUUGGUUUGAACCGGGAUUGAUUUCCCAGUAUCUGCUCUGAUGCUUAGGGUUGGAUAUGCUUGUUGCCCACUAUUUUUUUUGAGUGAUGUUUGUUUAAUCGCAAUGUUCUUCUAUAUAAACAUAUUACUUUUCUUUCCUGUGGAAGUAGAGAAGAGGACCACCAGAUUCAAGGUGGCCAUUUGUGCUGAAUGUAUGUAUAUAUGGUGCCCAGGGCCUCUCGCUGCUCCGAGGCCACCAUCUCUCCAUGGCCCGCUCGCACAAUGGUUGCUGUCAGUUGCAGAGCAGUGAGAUCACCUCUGACGACUUUCUGUGUCAAAGGGCCACAGCGGCGCUGCUUCUUCUUCCUGGAAGAGUCACACGUGAGUAGAGGAUGCCCUUAUUCUUCAUCUCCGACUUUCUCGGCUGUGUGGUUCAUGGUAUGCACACUGCCUCCUCUCCCCUCGCCAACUGCCCAGCGGCCGCAAAGCUAGAGCAACUGGUGGUGGAUAGUGCGACCGUCCUUCGCGCCAUCAUCCACCGCCGCGCCUCCCUCCCCUCGAGCUCACCUCCGCCCCUGCUCCAUCUCCAACGAGGGAAGGCAAGGUUCUAUUGGACAAAACAAGUACAUAGGUAAAAAUUGCAGAGCUAGGAUGAAAGGACAGUAUUGGGUGAAGAGAAUUUCAGGAACAAGAAUGCUCACCACUUGGACAGUCAAAGAAAAAUGGCGAUGUGAUAUAACCAUGGGUGGAGCCAACCCGCCAGAGAGCCUAAGCAAACAGCCAGCCUGCUGUUUGCCCAUGAAUAUAGUGGAUCAAUUAUUAUCCCUUCAAGAAUCAAUACUUACCGAUACCUUGAAGAAAAACAAAGCAAUUAUGUUGUGUACGAAUAGUGAAAGGUAAUUUGCACCUUCAAUGCUUUCUUGAUUCUAAUGUAUUUUGUAUAUUUGCCGAUCAAGCUUGCUGCACUGUUUAGUCUAUAAUAUGGUGUGCAUUAGUUAAUUUUCUCUUGUGAGUUGCUAUGGGUGAUAAGGAAUGAUGAUUGCCUUGUUUCUUGUACGUAACCUUUCCCAAGAGAGUCCUAGGUAAUUCCCAUAGAAAUUGACCCUUUUAAUUGGUCAUCAUGAUCCUCUGAUAAAUUCCCCAUGCUUGUGAGAUUAUACUUCCUAAGCAGAUUUGGAGUGAACUUACUGACAGAAAAACAUUAGUGCACAUUCAGGAUGGUGCACUUAUCUCGAAAUAAAAUCCAUAUCUUUACUUAGUACUGUAGUCAGCCCUUUUGGUGAAAGAUAGUUGCCUUGCCCAACUAUGGUCAUGUGUAUUAAGUAGUACAAAAUAUUGUGAUAG
Lolium perenne is the source of this 2008-nucleotide non-coding RNA. NCBI's taxonomy places the organism in Eukaryota, Viridiplantae, Streptophyta, Magnoliopsida, Poales, Poaceae. The record is from RefSeq and is a predicted model, not a curated record.